RNAcentral lists this unclassified non-coding RNA (254 nucleotides) under uncultured bacterium. Its description in RNAcentral is "contains 16S-23S intergenic spacer region". It matches the Rfam family "Bacterial small subunit ribosomal RNA", at positions 524 to 776 of the family's 1533-position model. The record is from RNAcentral.
UACGAGGAGCUCGAGCAUUACUCUUAUAUAAGGUGUAAAGGGCUAGUAGGUGGCCUACUCAUGUCCUAUCUAAAAGUGCGGCGGUUAACGUCGUAGCGGGUAGGAAACUGGUAUUGGCUAGAGUACGAAUAGGGGAAAACGGAAUGUCAGGGGGAGCGAUAGAAUGUGUUGAUCCUUGAUGGAACUCCAAAGGCGAAGGCAGUUUUCUGGGUACGUACUGACACUGAGUAGCGAAAGCUUGGGGAGCAAACAGG